AGAAACAGCCUAAAUACCCUAAAGGCACAACAUUCCAUCUGAUCUUGUAAGUUAAGGAGGGUUAGCCCUGGUUAGUACUUGGAUGGGAAACUGGCAACAAAUAUCAGGUGCAGUAGGCU
This 119-nucleotide ribosomal RNA is filed under the name Anolis carolinensis (green anole). The record is from RNAcentral. Lineage: Eukaryota; Metazoa; Chordata; Lepidosauria; Squamata; Anolidae.